This 68-nucleotide transfer RNA is filed under the name Sericus brunneus. RNAcentral describes it as "tRNA-Ile". Lineage: Eukaryota; Metazoa; Arthropoda; Insecta; Coleoptera; Elateridae. The record is from RNAcentral.
AAUGAAGUGCCUGAGAAAAGGACUAUUUUGAUAGAAUAAGCCAUGUAAAAACAUUUUUACCUUCAUUA